RNAcentral lists this non-coding RNA (88 nucleotides) under unclassified sequences. The record is from RNAcentral.
GACUAUUUGCCACCGGGCAAAAGAAUGUAAAGCAUUCAUAUACUUAUCGUUAGGUCUUUGAAGAUAAGUAUAUGAAUGCUUAAUUUUU